RNAcentral lists this ribosomal RNA (253 nucleotides) under uncultured bacterium. RNAcentral describes it as "partial 16S ribosomal RNA". It matches the Rfam family "Bacterial small subunit ribosomal RNA", at positions 524 to 776 of the family's 1533-position model. The record is from RNAcentral.
UACGAAGGGUGCUAGCGUUGUUCGGAAUUACUGGGCGUAAAGCGCGCGUAGGCGGUCUAACAAGUCAGGGGUGAAAUCCUUGGGCUCAACCCAAGAAUUGCCUUUGAAACUGUUAGACUUGAGUGUCGGAGGGGAUAGCGGAAUUGCUAAUGUAGAGGUGAAAUUCGUAGAUAUUAGCAGGAACACCGGUGGCGAAGGCGGCUAUCUGGACGACAACUGACGCUGAGGCGCGAAAGCGUGGGGAUCAAACAGG